GAUGAACGCUGGCGGCGUGCCUAAUACAUGCAAGUCGAGCGGCAGCACGGUCUUCGGACUGGUGGCGAGCGGCGGACGGCUGAGUAACGCGUAGGAAUAUACCCAAAGUGAGGGAUAACUGCCCGAAAGGGUGGCUAAUACCGCAUGUGGUCUUCGGACUAAAGCCUUCGGGCGCUUUGGGAAUAGCCUGCGUAAGAUUAGCUAGUUGGUGAGGUAAUGGCUCACCAAGGCGACGAUCUUUAGCUGGUCUGAGAGGAUGACCAGCCAGACUGGAACUGAGACACGGUCCAGACUCCUACGGGAGGCAGCAGUAGGGAAUUUUCCACAAUGGGCGAAAGCCUGAUGGAGCAACGCCGCGUGCAGGAUGAAGGCCCUCGGGUCGUAAACUGCUUUUAUGUGCGAAGAAUAUGACGGUAACACAUGAAUAAGGGUCGGCUAACUACGUGCCAGCAGCCGCGGUAAU
RNAcentral lists this ribosomal RNA (463 nucleotides) under uncultured bacterium. RNAcentral's name for it is "bacterial SSU rRNA". It matches the Rfam family "Bacterial small subunit ribosomal RNA", at positions 28 to 524 of the family's 1533-position model. The record is from RNAcentral.